This 205-nucleotide microRNA precursor is filed under the name Oryza nivara. RNAcentral describes it as "MIR812 microRNA precursor family". It matches the Rfam family "MIR812 microRNA precursor family". Lineage: Eukaryota; Viridiplantae; Streptophyta; Magnoliopsida; Poales; Poaceae. The record is from Rfam by way of RNAcentral.
AAAAAGACAAACCCUGAUUUUCGUGUCCAACAUUUAACCGUCCAUCUUAUUUAAAAAAAUUAUAAAAAAAAUUAAAAAGAUAAGUCGCACAUAAAAUAUUAAUCAUGUUUUAUCAUCUAACAACAAUGAAAAUACGAAUUAUAAAAAAAAUUUAUAUAAGACAGACAGUCAAAGUUGGACACGAAAACCCAGGGUUUGUCUUUUU